AGGCAGAUCAAAGGAGUCCUGCAGGGUCUGGACGAUAAGGGAAGAGCUAGGUGGUGGCCUCUGCGUGGCUGUCAGAGACAGAAGGGCUUGGAGCUGGAGGGACUGAGCCCCAGGCCUGUGGGGGACACCCACCCCUCUGCAUUCUGACAUUCCCUCCCUUGAGGCCCACCUGGGGAGCCAGAAGUGCCAGAACUGUAUGUAACUCGACCUCUGGGAGCUGCAGAGUGAGCCCACAGCUGUCCUCAGGCCUUGGACGGAGACCUCUGCUGUCCCCAGGCUCACGGAUCACGACAUGUGCCUUCGAAGGGGGUGCUUCCGCUGGCCUGCAGGCCGGGGGACAGGGCCACCACUCUGCUCCACCCGGGCCUCCUGCCUUUGCUUCCCCAGUCCCUAGUGUCGGUGGUGGAGAAAAUCCUCCCGCCAUCACCCUUCAUCGCGCCGGCUACACAGCGACACCUGGCUUGUUGUUGGGCCUCAGAAGUUUGAGACCCACGGUUCCAGAGGACUGAGCUCACACGGCCGCUCGUGACUUUUGAGCGAGCCCCCUGCUGCCCCUAAACUGAAGACUUGGUAAAGAGGCACGCAUUUAAGCAACUGUCCCCGGCUCUCCCCACGACACGACGCACACCCAGGAUAAACCCAGUCCAACGCUGCCCUCUCCCCACGCCCACCUGCCCUGCGAGUACAGGCCCAAAGGGGUGGAACUCAAUCACGGGUGCACACAGAGCCAGGCCCGGCUUCCCCUAGCAGAGGCAGGCACCCAGCUCUGCCUGCUGCCUGAUCCAGAAAAAGUCCAAGUGUUCGGAGGACGGUGUUGCUUCCUACCACACCGUCCGGUCCACUCAGCCCUGGAAUCCAGCCCCUCCCUUCCUCCCCAAAAACACUACCUGGGCUCCUUCUGUCAGGUGUGUCCUUGUUACAAAAUGAUCCUUGUAAGAAAAAAUGGAUGAAGACAUAGAAUAGAAAUCACACCUACUCCUGUUAUCCAGAGAUCGUCUCUGCUAAUAUUUUGAUUUUUUUUCUUGGAAAUCACACCUCUGUAUUUUAUUUUUUAACAAUCCAU
Long non-coding RNA from Eubalaena glacialis (North Atlantic right whale), 1063 nucleotides. RefSeq lists it as uncharacterized. The transcript is spliced from 4 exons. NCBI's taxonomy places the organism in Eukaryota, Metazoa, Chordata, Mammalia, Artiodactyla, Balaenidae. The record is from RefSeq and is a predicted model, not a curated record.